UUAUAGAGAGAUUUUAGGAGAAAAAGAAGGAAAUUGAGUGUUUGAAGGUGUGGUGCCGAAAUUGAACUGUAGGCACACAACAUUUCAACUGAAGUUGCUUUUCCCAAAAACUUAAGGCUUGUCAACUCUUUUUGUUCUUCCGCUUUUUUCUUCUUAUGGGUUUUUGGGUAAUUGGGGUUCUUUUCUUUUGUUUCUGAAGCCGACUUGUGCUGUUUGGAAGUACCUUUUUGGUCAUAGUUGCUGUGAAUUUACUUCUUUCACC
Molecule: long non-coding RNA, 262 nt
Filed under: Gossypium barbadense (sea-island cotton)
Lineage: Eukaryota; Viridiplantae; Streptophyta; Magnoliopsida; Malvales; Malvaceae
Description: long non-coding RNA (GBAR_LNC005321)
Source: RNAcentral